RNAcentral lists this ribosomal RNA (497 nucleotides) under uncultured bacterium. Its description in RNAcentral is "partial 16S ribosomal RNA". It matches the Rfam family "Bacterial small subunit ribosomal RNA", at positions 28 to 507 of the family's 1533-position model. The record is from RNAcentral.
GAUGAACGCUGGCGGCGUGCCUAAUACAUGCAAGUCGAGCGAACGGACGAGAAGCUUGCUUCUCUGAUGUUAGCGGCGGACGGGUGAGUAACACGUGGAUAACCUACCUAUAAGACUGGGAUCACUUCGGGAAACCGGAGCUAAUACCGGAUGAUCUUUUGAACCGCAUGGUUCAAAAGUGAAAGACGGUCUUGCUGUCACUUAUAGCUGGUUCCGCGCUGCAUUAGCUAGUUGGUACGGUAACGGCUUACCAAGGCAACGAUGCAUAGCCGACCUGAGAGGGUGAUCGGCCACACUGGAACUGAGACACGGUCCAGACUCCUACGGGAGGCAGCAGUAGGGAAGCGUCCGCAAUGGGCGAAAGCCUGACGGAGCAACGCCGCGUGAGUGAUGAAGGUCUUCGGAUCGUAAAACUCUGUUAUUAGGGAAGAACAUAUGUGUAAGUAACUGUGCACAUCUUGACGGUACCUAAUCAGAAAGCCACGGCUAACUACGUG